UUGCAUAUCAAAAAGCGGAGGAAAAGAAACCAACAGGGAUUGCCUUAGUAGCGGCGAGUGAGCGGCAAAGCUCAAAUUUGAAAUCUGGCGUAUUCUGCGUCCGAGUUGUAAUUUGAAGAAGGAUACUUUGGGGUUGGCUCUUGUCUAUGUUUCUUGGAACAGAACGUCACAGAGGGUGAGAAUCCCGUGCGAUGAGAAGCCCAAUUCCGUGUAAAGUGCCUUCGAAGAGUCGAGUUGUUUGGGAAUGCAGCUCUAAGUGGGUGGUAAAUUCCAUCUAAAGCUAAAUAUUGGCGAGAGACCGAUAGCGAACAAGUACAGUGAUGGAAAGAUGAAAAGAACUUUGAAAAGAGAGUGAAAAAGUACGUGAAAUUGUUGAAAGGGAAGGGCUUGAGAUCAGACUUGGUAUUUUGUAUGUCUUGCUUUCGGGUGGGGCCUCUGCAGUUUACUGGGCCAGCAUCGGUUCGGGUGGUAGGACACAUUGCGAAGGAACGUGGCACUGCUUCGGUGGUGUGUUAUAGCCUUUGUGGAUACUGCCUGUCUGGACCGAGGACUGCGUCAUUUGACUAGGAUGCUGGCAUAAUGAUCUUAAGUCGCCCGUCUUGAAACCACGGGACCA
This 616-nucleotide ribosomal RNA is filed under the name Hemisphaericaspora elongata. RNAcentral describes it as "Spathaspora elongata partial large subunit ribosomal RNA". It matches the Rfam family "Eukaryotic large subunit ribosomal RNA", at positions 36 to 664 of the family's 3401-position model. The record is from RNAcentral. Lineage: Eukaryota; Fungi; Ascomycota; Pichiomycetes; Serinales; Debaryomycetaceae.